Molecule: transfer RNA, 68 nt
Filed under: Camelus ferus (Wild Bactrian camel)
Lineage: Eukaryota; Metazoa; Chordata; Mammalia; Artiodactyla; Camelidae
Rfam family: tRNA
About the family: Transfer RNA (tRNA) molecules are approximately 80 nucleotides in length. Their secondary structure includes four short double-helical elements and three loops (D, anti-codon, and T loops).
Source: Rfam by way of RNAcentral
AGGGAUAUAACUGGUAGAGCACAUGCUUAGCAUGCAUGAGGUCCUGGGUUCAAUCCCCAGUACCUCCA